This 449-nucleotide ribosomal RNA is filed under the name uncultured bacterium. Its description in RNAcentral is "bacterial SSU rRNA". It matches the Rfam family "Bacterial small subunit ribosomal RNA", at positions 355 to 796 of the family's 1533-position model. The record is from RNAcentral.
UGGGGAAUUUUGGACAAUGGGCGAAAGCCUGAUCCAGCAAUGCCGCGUGUGUGAAGAAGGCCUUCGGGUUGUAAAGCACUUUUGUUCGGGAAGAAAAGGACUGGGCUAAUAUCCUGGUCUGAUGACGGUACCGGAAGAAUAAGCACCGGCUAACUACGUGCCAGCAGCCGCGGUAAUACGUAGGGUGCAAGCGUUAAUCGGAAUUACUGGGCGUAAAGCGUGCGCAGGCGGUUUGUUAAGACAGAUGUGAAAUCCCCGGGCUUAACCUGGGAACUGCAUUUGUGACUGGCAAGCUAGAGUAUGGCAGAGGGGGGUGGAAUUCCGCGUGUAGCAGUGAAAUGCGUAGAUAUGCGGAGGAACACCGAUGGCGAAGGCAGCCCCCUGGGCCAAUACUGACGCUCAUGCACGAAAGCGUGGGGAGCAAACAGGAUUAGAUACCCCCGUAGUCC